Molecule: long non-coding RNA, 1310 nt
Organism: Stomoxys calcitrans (stable fly)
Lineage: Eukaryota; Metazoa; Arthropoda; Insecta; Diptera; Muscidae
Exons: 8
Source: RefSeq, a predicted model, not a curated record
CGAACCGACACUGUCAUUCAUAGUUAAUUAAAGAAAAGAAGCAGCAUUGCGGACCGGCCAUGAUGCUGAAAAUUUAUUAAUUGAUUCCAUGGGAGACGAAAUCCAAGUGGAUUGAUACACCUAACUGGUGCCACCAAAAGAGGGGAACUUCCAUGGAUGGAGAGUGUGUGAGGUACCAACAACAAAUCUCCCGCCAGCCAUUUAUGACCAACAAGCAUCAGACCUUAGACGACUGUAAGUUCACCUAAAGUAAGGCUAACUCCAAAGCAUUUGGACAGUCCAUUCACCAACAAAUGCCAUCAUCCUCUGUUACUCAUCAAAAAAGGAAUAGCCUACCCAGACAGCAAAAACGGUUUGUGGGUGCUUCGGAUGAAAUCUAAACUAACGGAAAGGAAUAUCUCACGCAGACCAUGACCGAAGCGAUGACUGGUGGACACUAGCCGGAGUCUGGGACAGGUGACUAGGAUCACAAACAACCCCCUCGGUCGGACCUAGGCCUUUACCACGCCCGAAAGGACGGCCUCUUCUAGGUACUAAUUUGGAACAAGGAUCCCUAUGGAGACUUCCUACCUGCCUAGAAAGAGCUCUAUCUAUUGGGGAAGGGUAAAUACCAUGUAGUACGGUUGACGGUAUAAUCAAAGAUGAGUACCCUAGAAAAAAAAUGCCUGCCUUUUCAAAAAAAAACUAAUUUCCUUUUUUUUCUUUUAUUUUUAGGUAAUAUGUACGUCCGUCCGUCCGAAGGUUUAGUUUUAAGUAUUAUGUUAAGGGUCUUUGUAAGCCGUCACCUGGAGCACUGCGGUCUGCGAGUGCUUUUGAAGGAAGUCCCACGCUGGUGCAGAGAUGAGCCGUUGCUAUCAGAAGCUUUUGUUUUUUUUUCUCUUUUCUUUUUUUUUUGCAAUAAAGGAAUCGAAUGAUUUUGCUUUGGUCUGUUUUUUUUUUUUCUUUUAGAAUUCAGAUCAUUUUCUUGUUCAUCAUUUAAAAUAAAAGUGCCUUUUUCAAUGUUAGGCUUUUAGAGGUUUCAUCCCUCUUUGGAUUGUUCGGUUUUGUGUCAUCAUCCACUUGCUAUGCAGUCUUUGUAGCAAUGCAACACAACAACACCAACACUACACGACCGCGGCUGCACUUUUUUUUUAAUUCUUUUUUUUUUCUUGCUCGUUAAGCUCACUUCCAGUUGUCUUCUCGGCUCACCUCCGGCUUGCUGCACAGUCCAAAUCAAAAAGAAAGAUUUCCUUUCCUAGGACAGUGGCCUAUGUUGUCAUUUUGUUCAUCAUGGCGCUCUUCCCAGACCGAACUUCCUCUGAUGGGCCAAA